Molecule: non-coding RNA, 49 nt
Filed under: Candidatus Omnitrophus
Lineage: Bacteria; Pseudomonadati; Candidatus Omnitrophota
Also listed under: 1 other name
Description: Li+-I sequence
Rfam family: nhaA-I RNA
About the family: Acidobacteria, Alphaproteobacteria, Betaproteobacteria and Gammaproteobacteria, Verrucomicrobia, cand. division NC10.
Source: RNAcentral
GGGUCUGGAAUAUUUUUCCAGAGGAUAUCAGAUGGUCGGGCCGCCAUCU